Molecule: ribosomal RNA, 585 nt
Filed under: uncultured bacterium
Lineage: Bacteria
Description: partial 16S ribosomal RNA
Rfam family: Bacterial small subunit ribosomal RNA
Source: RNAcentral
UGGGGAAUUUUGGACAAUGGGCGAAAGCCUGAUCCAGCAAUGCCGCGUGUAUGAAGAAGGCCUUCGGGUUGUAAAGCACUUUUGUCCGGAAAGAAAUCCUUGGCUCUAAUACAGUCGGGGGAUGACGGUACCGGAAGAAUAAGCACCGGCUAACUACGUGCCAGCAGCCGCGGUAAUACGUAGGGUGCAAGCGUUAAUCGGAAUUACUGGGCGUAAAGCGUGCGCAGGCGGUUUGCUAAGACCGAUGUGAAAUCCCCGGGCUCAACCUGGGAACUGCAUUGGUGACUGGCAGGCUAGAGUAUGGCAGAGGGGGGUAGAAUUCCACGUGUAGCAGUGAAAUGCGUAGAGAUGUGGAGGAAUACCGAUGGCGAAGGCAGCCCCCUGGGCCAAUACUGACGCUCAUGCACGAAAGCGUGGGGAGCAAACAGGAUUAGAUACCCUGGUAGUCCACGCCCUAAACGAUGUCAACUAGUUGUUGGGGAUUCAUUUCCUUAGUAACGUAGCUAACGCGUGAGGUUGACCGCCUGGGGAGUACGGUCGCAAGAUUAAAACUCAAAUGAAUUGACGGGGUCAUAGCUGUUUCCU